RNAcentral lists this ribosomal RNA (479 nucleotides) under uncultured bacterium. RNAcentral describes it as "bacterial LSU rRNA". It matches the Rfam family "Bacterial large subunit ribosomal RNA", at positions 14 to 529 of the family's 2925-position model. The record is from RNAcentral.
AGAGCAUACGGGGGAUGCCUUGGCGUCAAGUGCCGAUGAAGGACGUGGUACACUGCGAAAAGCGUGGAUGAGGCGUGUGCAGCCGUAAUAAUCCACGAUGUCCGAAUGGGGAAACCCGGCAGGCGUGAGCCUGUCACCCCGCGAGGGGAGGGAACCGGGCGAACUGAAACAUCUCAGUAGCCCGAGGAAAAGAGAAGGAUUCUGCGAGUAGUGGCGAGCGAAAGCGGAAGAGCCCAAACCAGCGCAAGCUGGGGUUGUAGGACCUCGAGUAGCGUCACAAACUGAACCGAACGGCUUGGGAAAGCCGACCAGAGGGGGUGAGAGUCCCGUAGGUGAAGGGGAGUGAUGUGAGGGGUAUCCUGAGUACCACAAGGCACGCUAACCUGGUGGGAAGCUGGGACGACCACGUUCCAAGGCUAAAUACACUUGACGACCGAUAGCGCAAGAGUACAGUGAUGGAAAGGUGAAAAGAACCCCGG